UCCCAGGUGACUGAGUGGUAAAGACUCCGCCUGCCAAUGCGGAAGACUCAGGAGACCCAGGUUCGAUCCCUGGGUUGGGAA
Transfer RNA from Ovis aries (sheep), 81 nucleotides. It matches the Rfam family "tRNA". Rfam says of the family: Transfer RNA (tRNA) molecules are approximately 80 nucleotides in length. Their secondary structure includes four short double-helical elements and three loops (D, anti-codon, and T loops). Lineage: Eukaryota; Metazoa; Chordata; Mammalia; Artiodactyla; Bovidae. The record is from Rfam.